UUAUUUGGUCUGAGAGUGCAUACGAAUAUAGCAUAUAAUUUGUAUUGGCCACUAUACUGGGAUAACAAUACAACAGCUCCCAACUGUAACAGAAGUACCUAUAUUAUUUUUGGGAACUAAGGGAAAGCAUCUAACUUACCGCCAAAUAGUGGUUGAAAUAUUCAUCAUUUGGUACUAAAAACACCUUGUUGAUGAUAUAGUCAUACAUAAUAAUCAUAUCUGACUAUCAGAACUUGAAGAUCAACUUUUAUUUCAGAAGGAAAAAAGACAACAAUCUAUAAAUAUAAAUCAAUAAGUAACCAUUAAAAAGGAAAAUAAAUAAUUCUGCUCAGUUUCAAAGCCAACAUGGUAUUACAUAAGAAACCAUAUACAUACCGUCAUACCCUACCUGCAGUAUGCGUACUACAAGCCAUGUAGACUAAGUUAAGAUGUACAAUUGUAAAAGCCAUGUAUAUAUAGUUCGUGAUAUUGAACUUGAAUUACAAUCGCUUAUAUGUUGUGUUAAAUUAAUUGGUGCAUUUUAUUGUUGUUUAAAGCAUAUCAAUUUGCAUAAUAUAGAGAGGCUCGAUUAUUACCCCUGCCGGAAAUGUUAUUGGACGAAAACGACAUCAGAAAGGCAGGAAGGCACAUGAAUGAAUCAGCAUUCGUGCGCGUACUUUGCUGAAACUAGGCACCUCUAGAAAGCGAUGAAUUGCCAUCAGUCACCAAAGAGCUAACACCAUGCUUCGGCUAGAGGAAUUUGUAGUACUGACUGGAAAGCUACCAUUCAUGUCCCUGGGACCAAGUCCAAGGUUGGAGGGCGCCGGACAUGGAGGUCAGCAGUGUUGAACUGAACCACCACCUUGAAGACUGUUUCUUAAUAGGAUAGAACAUCACUGGAAUAUAGCAAGGAUCUUCCGAUAUUUUUGCUAGAAGCUACAAAGUGUAAUUAUCAUUAAGACUUUGACGUAAUGCAAGCGAAUCAAGAAAAUAGUCACCACAAAAUUUCUUGACCAAUGAGCUUAUGAACCAACAGUCCCAGGACGCCUAAUUCUAAGUUACUAACUUCUAAGUCUCAAAAAUCAAGAGGACUCGUUUCAGGACAUCAGAGAUAAAAAUAACCAUCAUCGAAAAGCAAGUGUCAAUCCAAUCUAGAGAUAACACAAAUAGAGAGGAAACGGGGCAAGAGAAGUAGACAGGGACAAGAUAUUUCAUUUGAAUUACAUACUAGCACAUGGAUACAGCCAAGGCAAAGAACAUGCAGACUUGGUGGGAAGGUUUGAGCCUCUUCAUGGCCUUACCUUGGAUUCACCGUUGGACGCAGGGGAGCGGUGUCGAGGGGCGGCGCGCCGGGAUCCAGUGCCGCAGGGGAGUGGUGAUGAGGGAUUGCACGCCGGGAUGGAGGGUCGCAGGGGAGUGGUGAGGGGCCGCGCGCCGGCAUGUAGGUCGCUGCCACGCAAAGGAGUCGCAAUGCGUGAUGAG
RNAcentral lists this long non-coding RNA (1461 nucleotides) under Triticum aestivum (bread wheat). RNAcentral's name for it is "long non-coding RNA (TAES_LNC006162)". Lineage: Eukaryota; Viridiplantae; Streptophyta; Magnoliopsida; Poales; Poaceae. The record is from RNAcentral.